RNAcentral lists this ribosomal RNA (638 nucleotides) under uncultured Actinomycetes bacterium. Its description in RNAcentral is "bacterial SSU rRNA". It matches the Rfam family "Bacterial small subunit ribosomal RNA", at positions 232 to 885 of the family's 1533-position model. Lineage: Bacteria; Bacillati; Actinomycetota; Actinomycetes. The record is from RNAcentral.
CGCGGCCUAUCAGCUUGUUGGUGAGGUAACGGCUCACCAAGGCAUCGACGGGUAGCUGGUCUGAGAGGACGAUCAGCCACACUGGGACUGAGACACGGCCCAGACUCCUACGGGAGGCAGCAGUAGGGAAUCUUGCGCAAUGGGCGAAAGCCUGACGCAGCAACGCCGCGUGGGGGAUGAAUGCCUUCGGGUUGUAAACCCCUUCAGCAGGGACGAAAAUGACGGUACCUGCAGAAGAAGCUCCGGCCAACUACGUGCCAGCAGCCGCGGUAAUACGUAGGGAGCGAGCGUUGUCCGGAAUUAUUGGGCGUAAAGAGCUCGUAGGCGGUUCAGUAAGUCGGGUGUGAAAACUCAAGGCUCAACCUUGAGACGCCACUCGAUACUGCUGUGACUUGAGUCCGGUAGAGGAGUGUGGAAUUCCUGGUGUAGCGGUGAAAUGCGCAGAUAUCAGGAGGAACACCAGCGGCGAAGGCGGCACUCUGGGCCGGUACUGACGCUGAGGAGCGAAAGCAUGGGGAGCAAACAGGAUUAGAUACCCUGGUAGUCCAUGCCGUAAACGUUGGGCACUAGGUAUGGGAUCAUAUCAACGGAUUCCGUGCCGUAGCUAACGCAUUAAGUGCCCCGCCUGGGGAGUACGG